UGUGUGUGCCUCAUCUGUUAUGUGAUAUAUGUGUUGAUUAAAGCAUGCUAUACAGGUUUUCUUUAAACUAUGUAUACAAAUGUAUAUUUUUAUCUACUAAUAUGUUGGGUAGAACAUGGGUAGACAGUUGGUGUGUAAUAAACAGAUGAGAGGCCUCGUUGUUGUUUGAUUGAGUCAUCUAGCGGAGUUUAGAUGACGACCACUGGCUAUUCUAGACAGUCUUGUGGAAACAUUAGCAGGUUCGCCACCUGUAGGUGUUAAUGAACUUGGGUGUUCAUUCGCUGUACUCCAUCCCCCUCAUGGUUGCCUUAUUUGACUUAUAUUGCUGAGGAACCCCCGAAGCAUGUGUUGUCGCCCCGAUGAAAUAUUCUUAGACUAGGUCCCUUAUGUUAGUUGUUUUAGGGACAUAAAGUGAGAAUAACGGGAAUGGGUAAUUGGGUUAUUGUUGGUUGGUGGAAAUUAAAUAUAAUUAUUUAUUGUGGGUUGAAAACCCUAUAUGCUCACCAGGCUCCCAAGCCUGACCCACUCAGUUUUAUUUGUAUUACAGGAAGUGGCGCGAGGGCAUAAGAUGGAUGAACCAUCAAGUUGUUUUGUUUACAAGUCUGUAUAUGUAUAUAUUUGUUGAAUGACUUGUAAUGUUAUCGUUUAUGCUUAUUGGUCUGUAUCGGAACAUGACACCCCGAGUUUUGAUUAUAUAAUGAAAAUACAUUUCUUUUAUGAAAUGCUUUGGUAAACAUUGUUUUAUCAUGUUUUGUUUUUGGGAACAAAUUUCGCAACUCUUUCAAAUCAAAAGGAUUUACUCUGAAAUUAUUUUAAAAACAUAAAUGAAAAUCGGUCUUUUCUGGCCGAGAUUUUGAGGAUGUCACAGUUGUGAUGCUUUACAUGACGUCCUCCGCCCCAGAACGUUUCCGUCGUUCUUGGUUUUGGGGUGUGACAGUUAUGGAUGGAUUCAAGCAUGAAUCAAGAAGAAGUGAUGUAUAACACAUAGAUGUAGUGAUUUACUUACAUUUUUGGAAGAUUGGAAGCAAAAGUGUCAAGAUCCUUGAGAGAAAAUUCUGAAUUCUUGGGCUUGGAAGGUGAAAAGUGAUUAAAACUCACUAAGGAUCAUAUAUAUACCCUGGAGUUUACGGCCACCUUGAGUUUACGGCCGUAAACUCAAUGGUCUUGGUCGUAAACUCCUAUUUCGAGGGCUUAAGGCUUUUUUGGUAAUUUACAAAUCCAAUAGACACUUCCUUUCACUCAUUCCUUUGGUUUAUUAAGCUCAGAAUGCUCAUACAGACUCAACACAAUGCUAAAAGUUAGCAGAAGCAAGUUUGACUUUUAUUGAAAUGUAGGGUUUGUACAAAUAGAAAUUUUGGGUUGUCACAAAAUUGAUUUUUGUAUAUUUGUUUAAUGUUUUUAAAUGGAAGUGGAAAUUCUUAAAUAAUUCGAAUGGCUUAUGGUGCAUGGUCUUUCUAACAUCCGAAUUUUCAAACCAAUUUUUUUCAUUUUUAAAUCCAUAGAAAACAGUUUUCAUAAAAACCAUCCCAAGAAAAGUCAUGAUGUCAAAUACAAUUUCACAUCAAAAUAUCAGAGUGUCCCAAAAUAUCCAAUAACAAAAUCUCUCAUUUAAUGUGUACAUCAAGCCUUCAUCUUCCCGCGAUCCUCAAAAGUACCUUAAACACAUUUAAUCAACAACUGCAAGCACAAAGCAUAGUGAGUUCCCCAAAAUAUCACAUACAACACAACACAUAAAGCAGUUAUGGGUUAUCAGCAACCCUGGAGACUACUCGAAGUCUCAGUGGGCAAACAACACGCCAUGUGGUUUAUCAGCAACCCUGGAUACUACUCAAAGUCUUGGCACACAUAAGGUAACACAUAUCAAAGUAAUAACACAUAGACCCAGUUGGUCAUCACAUAAAUAAAUCUAUACUAACACACAUGUACGAAUAAGUGAAAAGACUCACCUUGUACAACUAACUAAUAGAAACUCACGCCCAAACUUCCGGAACUAGACUCCGCCAAUCAACUAUACCAAUUAACCCUAAUGAAUAAUUAAGGUAACUUUCAUACUUCACUAAUCCCAAGCCAAGUCUAAUACAUAGUUUGGGCAAAAAACCACUUUCCCCUCACAAUAUCCAAACCCUCACAACUUGUCAAAAGGGCAUACUUUGUCAAAAGUCAAUGAAAGUCAACGGCGGCCGUACAUACGAGGUACACUUCUCUACGUUGGGCGUAGAGCAUUGGGCAGGCGGAGACGGGUUUGCAACUGGUUACGUUGAGCAUAGCCAGAAGUACGCUCGACGUACACGGCAUAUUUCAACAUUACANUAUAUAUAUAUAUACAACUAUUCUACCACACAUGUAAGAAUAAGUGAGGAGAAUCACCUGGUACUGAUGAUUGAUACUACUCACACCCGAACUGCCAUAACUAUACCUCGCCUAAUUAAAUACACCAACUAACCCUAAUUAAUAAUUAAGGUAUUCACACACACACACACACACACCACUGAACUCAUACAAGUCUAGUCCACACCUAGAGUAGAAGACUGCUUUGCCCCUACAAAACCCCUCACAAUCCAUCUAAGACACAAAUGUUCCAAGUUAACAAAAGUGAACAAAAGUUAAUAGUCUCCCAUAACCAGUAUGUUGGGCGUAAUCACUCUACGUGAGACGUAGAACGCAAGGCAAGAGGGAUGGGCUCGAAUCUGGCUAUGUUGGGCAUAGCCAGGUGUACGCUCAGCGUACAUAAGCUAAUAUCAACACUUCUGAUGCAAACGUCUUAAUCAUUAAUACAUCCAUUCCAAACACAAAUCUAGCCCCUAAAGAACUUCUUAAGCUAUAAAGUUUUUGAAUUUAAGCCUUUGCAUGGAUACAAGGAGAUAAAGCCCAAAAACCCUAACUUCUUACCUCAUUAAAACCCCGUAUCUCUUGCAUGGAGGAAAAUGAAUGACCAAGAUAACAUUUUUAUGACUUUAUACAUCUUAGAAUCGCUGGAAGGAUGAAUUAAUAGCUCUGGAUUACUCCAUACUCGUAAAGAUCAAAGCUUUGGGACAUAAAGAACCAAAAUGCAAGGCUAAGAAAUAUCUAACUAAAUGAGCUCCAAGAUUUGAACUUUAUACCUUGAAAAUGUGCACAAAGAGAUGAAGUUGUUGAAUCUACAAGCUAUAAUGCACCACCACCACUUGAAUGAUCAUCCUUCUUACACCAAAACACUAAACAAUCACUUUCCAAGCUUCAAAACACUCUCACAAGGUUAGGGUUCCGAUAUAGUGUUUAGAGGCAAUAAAGGCUAGAUAAGAUGAUGUCAAAGGGAGGGAUAAGAUGAUUAAAUAUGGGUCACACCCUAAAAUUUACGAUUUAGCAUCUGCAUGAGUACACCCGUUGUACUCACACGUACAACUAAUGUACCCCCUCUUCCGCCUUGACUACCUCGAAGACCUACGUUCGACGUACAUGGCUAGUACGCCCAACUUAAGUGGCCAAAAUGCAAAUUACAUUAACUUCAAGGGCUGAAAAUAAAAUACCUGACAACGGGUAUUACAAAUCUCCCCCACUAGAAUCAAACUUCGCCCUCGAAGUCAAGCAUCUCCGCCUCGGGCUCCCAAGUCCACUCUGAGCCCUUCCGAUGUUGCCAAUGAACCCUGACCAGGUUCACUACCUUAUUCCUAAAUGUCUUCACCUUCCUAUCCAUAAUUGCAAUCGGGCUCUCAAUAUAGUUCAGGCUAUCAUCGAUCUGAAUGUCCUCCAAAGGAACCAAAAUUGUCUCAUCAGCUAUACACUUCCUCAACUGGAAAACAUGGAAGGUAUCAUGGUUAUGACUUAACUACUCAUGGAGCUCCAGCCGGUAAUCCAGCUUGCCCACACGGACUAACACUCUUAAAGGGCCAAUAAACUUGGUCCCCAACUUGACCCGCUUCCUAAAUUGAAUAACGCCCUUCCAUGUUGAUACUUUCAGAAAAACCAAAUCACCAACCCAAAAUUCCAACUCAGAGCGUCGCCGGUCCGCAUAACUCUUCUGAUGACUUUGAGUCGUUAGUAAUCUCUGUCUGACUUGCUGAAUAAGCUCAGUCGUCUUCAACACUAUCUCAGUGUUCCACAUGACUCUCUAUCUGACUUCUCCCUAACAAAUAGAAGUCUGACACUUCCUCCCAUACAAAAGAUCAAAGGGAGGCAUGCCAAUGUUGGCAUGAUGGUUGUUUUUGUAAGAAAACUCAGUCAAAGGGAGGUAAGAGUCCCAACUCCCACCAAAAUCAAUGAUGCACGAAUGAAACAUAUCUUCAAUCGUCUGAAUAGUCCGCUUACUCUGCCCAUCAGUUUGCGGAUGGUACGCGGUACUGAAAUGCAAUCGGGUGCCCAAUUCUUCGUGAAACCUCUUCCAAAACCUGGAAGUAAAUCGAAGAUACAUAUCCGACACAGUAGAAUUCGGCACCCCAUGUCGAGCCACCACUUAUCAAACAUAAAUCUCAUCUAACUUAUCGGAAAAAAAGAGCCCCUCACUUAUGUCUAAGAAGUGAGCGCUCUUCGUCAAGCGGUCAACUAUCACCCAGAUAACAUCAACUCCUUUUGCAGUAUUUGACAAUUUUGUGAUGAAAUCCAUUUUGAUUUGUUCUUACUUCCAUAAUGGAACCCCUAAAGGCUGCAAAUUGUCAUGAGGACGUUGGUGCUUAGCCUUCACCUUCCAACCGAUCAAGCAUCGCUCUACAAACCAGGCCACAUCCAUCUUCAUACACGACCGCCAAUAAUUAUGCUUCAAGUGAAGAUACAUCUUGGUAGCCCCCCCCCCCAAAUGAAUGGAGAAUAUCAACUUGUGGGACUCCCCCAUCAACACCCAUCAAACCCUACCUGCAUGCGGUACCCAAACUCGUCCAUGAAGAGUCAAAAGCCCUAUGUUGUCGAUAUCAAAGGUUGAAACCUGACCGAUCACUCGCUCACUCUUCCGAUUCUAUUUUUUAUGGCCUCUGACUGCGCUUCUUUGAUCAUUUCCAAAACUAUGGUCAUCACAGUCAUCCUUAAACACACAUCGUAAAUCGGGGUACUGACCGCCCUCCGAACCAAGGCGUCGGCUACCAGAUUGGCCUUGAAUGGGUGAUAUGUGAUCUCAUAGUCAUAAUAUUUCACUACAUCCAACCACCUCCUCUGCCUCAUGUUCAUGUUAGGCUAGUCCAUAAGAUAUCUCAGGCUCUUAUGGUUCGUAUAGAUAGUACACUGAACUCCAUAAAAGGUAAUGAUGCCAAAUCUUGAGAUCAAAAAUCGCCGCCCCCAAUUCCAAAUUAUGGGUGGGAUACUCCGCAUAAUGAGGCUUCAUUUGCCUCGAAGACUAUGCAAUCACAUGCCCAUUUGCAUCAACACAACACCCAACCCUAAAAUGGAGGCAUCACCACAAAAUCCCCAACUCCCUCCGAGAGGGCAAGUACCGAUGCCUUACAAGUACCAGGGCCCGAUGCCGGACUUCUUCUGGUGCCAGGGGAGGGGGUGAAGCGGGCAAGGCCUUCGAUUUUUCUAUUAUGUGAUUAUGUGCAUGGUAUGUGGUAGUUUGGGGAGACUCACUAAACUUUGUGUUUACAGUUUUCAGUUUUGGUUACAGGUACUUCCGGUAGCAAGGGGAAGAGUUCAGGAUGACUACGAUGCACAUACCAUUUGUUUAGUCUGGGAUGUUUUACUAUGAUAUAUUGACAUGUGUGUUUAAUAUGAUACUCUGAUUUGAUAUGAUGACUUAUGUUUUUGGAUAAAAUGUUUUGAUAACUAUGGUUUAUUUAAUAAUUAAAAAUAAAAUUUUUGGUCAUGAUUUUUUGGAUGUUACCAGUUGGUAUCAGAGCCUUGGUUUGAGGGAUUCGAAUACACUCUCGGGUGUGUCUGAACUCAAACUGAGGACUUGGUAUAAUUUUUUUUAUAAAGAAAACCAUUUUAUAAAAAAGAUCUAGAAAAGAGAAAAGGGUGUGGUACAUGCAAUCAGCUGAGCUUAAGUGAGUUCUCCCAAAUUACCCAUACAAGUUAUGUUAUGAUAUGAAUUGUGAAUAUAUGAAUUGCAUCCUAGAUUAGGGCUAAGGAUCUAGGAAGGAUGCCUUAUAUGCCUGCUAUAUGAGCUUUAUGAACUGCAUGCUAGUACUGAGCAAUCAGUGAUAUGAUGGCCUGAUUAGGAUAUGCUUGGUUAUGUUUACUUAAUGCUUGAAUGUUGCUUGCUUUGUACUUUUAGAAGUUUUAGUUAUCUUUGACUAACUAUUAAACAAAUAUGUUAAGUUACAUAUUACAAUGGCUAAAUAAUUUCAGAAGGUUAGGUUUAGCUCUAUUUCACAGCUCUUGUUUGAGUCUAACCGUUGUAAGGUAGGACCUCUCAUUCGAAGAAUUAUCUGGUCUUAAUGAUAUGUAAUGGUAUUCGCGAGUUAGUUAGGGGAGAUAGCAGAGACUACUUAUGCAACUGAUGGCAGAGAGUGGGUCGGAGAUUACCCUAGGGCAAGCCUAGGAUGAGAUUAGCGUAGAGAGCAGUAGUAGCGAAAUGUACUUGGUGGAGUCAAGGCAGUUCUUGAUGAAAGUACGGAUAGAUGUGGAAGGUAGUAUGGGCCCGUACUACUGAAAGCAGAGGAUCCAUACUCGAAUCAAGGAAGGCUAAGAUGAACCCAUGGAACAUGUAGUGUGUGUGAUCCCUCGAGUUAUGACGAGUGUACUGGUGUUUGUUAUGGUGUAUUUUCAGUAUGGUGACACUACGUACGAGACCAGUUGGCAGCUCUGGCACCGGCGAGGGAUCAGGCUCGGGAUCUGGAGUCGGGCAUCCCGAUGAUCAGAUGAGUGAGUUCAUCUCAUCAUUACUUAUCUACAUCAUUACCUAAUAUACAAAAGAUUAUAUAAAAUAACUACUAUAUGUACUGAAGCCGAUAAGCUUUAUAUGUUGGCUCUAGUUGUAGGGUACACGUUGAUGCUAGAGAAUGUGUAGAGUGUUUGACUCAUCAUAUCAUAAGGUGUGACCUUAUAAUCUCCCACUAUCUGAUGAUGUCAAAGCUAAUCUUCAAUGAAUUCUUCAGUUCGUGCUCCCUCUAAGACUAAGAAUGAAGUUUUAAUGUUUCAACUUUAACUAAUGCUCCCCCCUGAGAAUAUGAAUGACUUAUUAAGUAAUCGAGGCAUCAUUUAUGAAUCACAACGGACGAAGGAUGAAUAUGUAAAGGUGACGAGUUGGCAACUCUGGCACCGAUGAGGGAUCAGGCUCGGGCUUUGGAGCCGGCCAGCUCGAUGAUCAUAUGAGGGAGUUCAUUUCAUCAUUACUUAUCUACAUCAUUACCUAACAUACAAAAGAUUAUAUAGAAUAACCACUCUAUGCACUAGCUUUAUACGUUGGCGAUGGUUGUAGAGUACACGUUGAUGCUAGCGAAUGUGUAGAGUGUUUGACUCAUCAUAUCAUAAGGUAUGACCUUAUAAUCUCCCCCUAUAUGACGAUGUCAAAGCUAAUCUUCAAUGAAUUAUUCAGUUUGUGCUCCCCCUAAGACUAAGAAUGAAGUUUUAAUGUUUCAACUUUAACUAAUGCUCCCCCUGAGAAUAUGAAUGACUUGUCAAGUAAUUGAGACAUCAUUUAUGAAUCGCAACGGAUGGAGGAUGAAUAUGUGAAGGUGACGAGUUGGGCUGAAAGUGUGGAUCAGCUUGACCCAACUAGCUGAGAAUAUUGAUAUUAGCUUGACUCGACUCCCCCUUAGAUUGUGCUUUUAUGUAUAGAUUUUCUCCCCCUUUUUGACAUUAGCAGUAAACACAUGAAUAAAGUUGUUGUAGCUUGUAGUUUAGUAAGAUUAUGACGUCUCUUGAUAGUAUUGGCUUAAACUAUCAUUCACUAACAAUGUAUUGCGAGAUUCAUCAGCAUGUGGUUUCAUACGCUGACUCAUUAGUCACUUUUAUUAAAAGAAAAAGAGCAAUGAUUUUAUGUUGUGUGUAACACAUUCCGAUAUGAAAUGUACAAAUCGACAAAGAGUGUCGAAGUUUUAUCAGUGUAUGGAUGAAUUAUUGGGAAAGAGUAGGUAGGCGCGUGUAAUAUAUCACGCACAAUGAUAUACCCAUCGGCACAAAUUUUCGAAUUCUCAUCAGUGUCUAGUAUCAUACGCUGAAUCAUAAAAUUCUAAAUAAGAAUUUAUGGAAAGAAUAGUUUGAUGCGUGUGAUAAGCUGUGGUGUUUUAGCUUAACCAUCGACAUAGAUUUUUCAAGCUCUCAUCAGCGUGUGUACAUUACAUUGAACCAUAAAACUUCAAAGAAGAAUAUCAAGGCAAUAAUGGGUUGGUGCGUGUGAUAGCCUACAAUACAUAGACUAACCAUCGACACAUUGUUUCAAACUUUUAUUAGUGUGUGGUAUAUCACAGUGAAUCGUCGAGUUUUAUUAAAAAAAUUAAGGAAAUAAUAGAUUGUUUAAGUCACAAUGAUGUGGAAUCAACGUGAAUCAUAAACGGUGUUAACUCAUCAAAAAAAAGUGGUUCAAACUUCCGUAUCAUAUAGUUAAGUUGCAGUUUAGAACUAUAAAGUUCACCAUCAAUUCUUUAGAAUGGUAUAAAAAUAAUAAUAAAUAAUAUAAGAAUACAACAAAAAAAGUUAGUCAAAUAAGGAAAGGAAUAUACAACCUUGUUCAGAGGCUCUCUAUAUAGCCUUUUUCAGAAGAUGUUUUGUGAAAAAUAAAUCUUUUGAAGUAAUUACUCAUUUAUUAAAUUUCUUUGUUCGAGAUAUCUACCCUUCAAGAUUGGCUAUUAAUCACUGAAAUAUUCCAGAUGAACUUCAACCUUCAUAUUUAUCAAAGAACAAAAGAGAAGUAGAGAUCAGUCUUUGUAACCAACAAGUUAACUGACUCAAAUCCAUGAAACCAUUGUGUCCUCAAGAUUAACAUGAGGGCAUUUGAGGUUUUAUCAGAUCAAGAGUCAGUAGAUGAAAACAAGACCUACUACAUUGAUGGUUGCUCUUUGCAUCCAUAACAAUUAGUGGAGGAGAAAGAGUGUAUCCUCAAGAGGAAGAGGAUUUUCUCCUAACUAUCCCUAUUGAUGGCCCAGACCAGCAUAUGUCUAAUGUGGAGUACCAAACUAUCCUUCGUUACCGCCUCAUGAUUCCUCUAUUCUCGAUUGACGAGAUAUGCCUAGUUUGCUGCAAGGCAUUUUGGAUACAUGUAGGGAACAUGCAGUUCUUUGUACCUACAUGAUGUGGUUAGGGAUGUUCUCUUUGAUGUUUGUCGGCUGCUGAUAUUUUCGUGAAGAAAGAAAUGUUAGUGAACUUUUUGACGGACCCACUGGAUGGAAGAUCCACACUCAGGCCGACUGACAUUUUGGUCUUUAGAUAUGUAGGAGGGAAGCACGCUUGUGUGGAUCUUAUUGGGGUCUCCCCUUUCGUCGGUUUGAGAUGCGGGGGUUUCACAGUAGAGCAUGUCGCUUUGAAAGCUGCUGCAUGCAAAGUGGCAAAGCACGAGAAUGCAUGCAUAGAAAAUCACAUGUGCUUAUACCUUUUGCAUUUGAUACUUUUGGUUUUAUCGAACCAAAGACGAUGAAACUCCUCAACAAAGUUUAACAGAUCAUGCAUUAUAAUGUUAUAUCUUCAACAUCCACGUAUGUUGUUUUCAAAAGAAUUAGUUUUGUCAUUCAGAAAAAUUUAAUAACACAACUUAUUGUCCAUUUGCUUUCCGUCUAUAUGCAAUGAUUUUUUUUUUUUUUUAUCAUCAAUUUAAAUUGGAAUUUGAUUUAUUCAAAUGUAUUAUUUUCAAAACAAAUCAAAUGGUUAACAUUGAUUUACUCAAGUAAGCCGAUACAAGCCCAUUGGGUCAAAAGAACGGGGUUCAUCCAUUGAUUCCAUUCUAUGAUUAUAUCCUAACACCAUCUGACGGCUCACAAAGCAUCACCAUCAUCACAAAGACCUCCAUCCUUCUCUUAUAAUAAGCCUCUUCACCUCGCCACAUCAACAAGUAACCCUAGCUAAACAUACAACCAUCAUCAAGUCACACCCCCUUCAACCCUCUCAAAUCUAGGGUUUUUUUUUUGUCUAAAUUUCAAAUGUCAAGACAUCAUAGAUUUGUAGCUCUCGUAGCCGACGAUUUACAAAAAUUUGGGGCGAAAUAGUUGAUGUUCGUAAAACUCAAUGGUAAAUCGUCGCAAAUCGAGCCGUCUCUGUGAUCACAGCGGUUGAGCCGCCCUUCGCCGGGCGGUUCCCGUUAACCGGAGAAGGCGUUGUCACAUCCUAUCGCCUUGGGGAGCGGAGUCUCUGCAAUUACCUCUUGGGAUUGGCCGUGAGAAAGACAUUCACUAAUCGUUUGAAUUCCAUACUUGAAAUCGGCCUGUGAUGAAAUCUAUUUAAAAGAACACCAUCUUUCGGGACUGAAUGGUCUUUCUCGAGAUCUUGAUGUCAAUUCUGCAAUUCUGAGGCCAUUUUUCUGUGAUUUUUUUUUAAUUUAAAAUGUUGUAACAAAUGCGUACUGUAUUUGAAUUCGAAUGUGGAUUCAAGUACCAAUAAUCAUCAUUCAUCAAAUUCCUUUUGCUAUCAGAAUGAAGAAUUUUUUCAAACAAUAUGAACACUUUCCUGAAUUUCUGUCUUUCAUAAAAUGCAUCGAUGAAACUCUGAAUUCUCAAUUGAUAGCUUGUUUGUUACCGAUUAUUUACAAAAUGUUUGGGGCAAGUUAGUUUAUAUUAGAAUAGUAUGUCCUUUUGGGCUAUUAAAUGAUCCCAUGUUAAUAUUUUAGAGCACAAUGCACAAAAUCAAAUUUAUGCAUGAACAAAUCCGGUGUCGUUUUCCUCAAGCUUUCGUGAUUUCACCAUCAUAUUACAUGUAUAUCAAAGUGAAUGUUUCCAUAUCCAUUUUUGAUUAAAUGUUUAUUGCAUAAUAGCAUUGAAAAUGUAGACACUGUGUAGAAAAUGGACUUUUAGGUUAAAAAGCAUUCCCAAACGCCACUAAAAGCAAAUACUUUAUUUAAAACAAAGCCUAAAACAUAUUCAUGCUUUAAACAAAUACUUUUACUUUAAUGAAUCAGAAAUAUUAUGAAUUUAAGUAGGCAUGUUUACUUGUAUAUAUAACUAUUAACAUUUUAAUAAUAUUUUUAUUUGUUCACUUUGGGUUUAGCGGCCUUGAAGGUUGUAUCUUUGAAUAUAGUUGUAUUAUCUUUUUUAGAAUUUUGUAGCUUUGUUUGUGGUUAAUGGUGCCAUUAGAAAUUUGAAGUAUACUACCUAAACAACAUUAGGAGUUGGAUCAUUUUUUGUUAGAAUGUCUAAUAACCGUAGAUCACAAACAUCUCUUACCAUCUUUUUUGCCAUAAAAAAGGUUGUUUGUGAUUUGGAGUGGUUAGACAUGAAAGACGAUCAAUUCCAUGUUUGCUUGAUUUGAAGUCUAUAUAUAAUUUCUAAGACCAUCCAUAUGAAAUCAAUGAAUGAGUUUAAUGAGUUGAAAUGUCUAGUUAUAAUUUCUAAGACCAUCUUAUUGUGAUGUAAUUUUAUCGUAAUGAGAUUUUAUCUCGAUAGAUUUGGAGGUUAAUGGUCAUUGAGUUAUUUAAUGAAAAAAGGAAAAGUUUUUUAAUUUUAAAUAUUUAUUAUAAAUCAAUUUUUGUAUCUUUUUAUUGAAAUUUGUAGAGUUUAAUGCAUAAUAGGAUAAGAUGAUAGAGUUAUAUGGAGUGUAAAAAAAUUAUGUGAUAUUCCAUUAAGUUUUAUGGACUUCAAUGCAUUGUGGAUACCAUAAGACUUCAAAGCAAGUGUGAAAGUCUAUGUGGCAUCCCAAGGGAAGCUUCAAAUCAAGUGUGGAUAACUUGAUGCUUCAAAUCAAGUGUGAAAGUCUAUGUGGCAUCCCAAGGGACGUUGGAACCCCCAAGGGUCUAGUUUGGCAUCUCCAUGAGGACGAAUGAAAACACCUUAUAAGAAAUUAGCGGCAACAUCGAUCAUUCUUUUUUUUUUCUUUUUUCUUUCUACCUCUUCACCACCAAUCUACCGGCGAACAUCAUUUCUACUACCUAGUCGAUUAGUUGUGGAAUGGUAAAAAAUCUAUGUGACCGUAGGGUUGUGCCAUUUGCGACUUCGGCAUUUGAAUUGUGAAGAUACAAACAAGUAAAGUAGGGUUGUGCAUUGUGGGUUGUAUGUUCGCAGAUGGAAUUCAAUUUGUUACUAUUUUUUUGUACACAUAAAGAUAGUUCUUGUAGCCGACGAUUUACAAAAUAUUGGGGCGAAAUAGUUGAUAUUCGUAAAACUCAAUGGUAAAUCGUUGCAAAUCUAGCCGUCUUUGUGAUCACAGCGGUUGAGCCGCCCUUUGCCGGGCAGUCCCCGUUAACCGGAGAAGGCGUUGUCACAUCCUAUCGCCUUGGGGAGCGGAGUCUCUGCAAUUACCUCUUGGGAUUGGCCGUGAGAAAGACAUUCACCAAUCGUUUAAAUUCCAUACUUGAAAUCGGCCUGUGAUGAAAUCUAUUUAAAAGAACACCAUCUUUCGGGACUGAAUGGUCUUUCUCGAGAUCUUGAUGUCAAUUCUGCAAUUCUGAG
Molecule: long non-coding RNA, 12431 nt
Filed under: Lactuca sativa (garden lettuce)
Lineage: Eukaryota; Viridiplantae; Streptophyta; Magnoliopsida; Asterales; Asteraceae
Description: long non-coding RNA (LSAT_LNC007610)
Rfam family: Small nucleolar RNA SNORD96 family (bases 10252-10346)
Source: RNAcentral